Molecule: long non-coding RNA, 1324 nt
Organism: Gossypium raimondii (Peruvian cotton)
Lineage: Eukaryota; Viridiplantae; Streptophyta; Magnoliopsida; Malvales; Malvaceae
Exons: 2
Source: RefSeq, a predicted model, not a curated record
UAGUGUGUAUAUAUAUGGGUCAAGUCCACAAAUAUAUGAAGCAAUCAAUUAUUUUGUGGCUGAUGGAAAUGAGUUUUCUGGGCAUGGGCUUGAAUUCCAGACACGUACCAUCGCAGCCAGGCCAAGUGGCUUUAGACCCCAGGGACAUGCCAGACAAGAGUGUGCCAAAUAAUGCUUCUACGUGUUGGUCAUGCAGUACUGUUACUUGGCAGCUUCUAUGAUAAAUCACCAAAUCCACUAUUCCUAAAUCAUUACAAGCUUAUGCUACUACUUAAAUAUUAUUUCUACUUCUAGUACUCCACAAUCUAACCUUAUUGCUUAUAUUUGGUUGAAGAAAUUUGGGUGUAAAGAUACGGCUUAGAAGAGUAAGUCCCAAAGGUUUGAUAAAAGAAGGAAGAAAGUUUUCUGUGAAAAAGCAGAUAAAAAAGUGGAGUGUUUUGGAGAGCAAACCCCUUUUUUUCCUCAUUUAUUUCGCCAUCAUGUGUGGUGAAGCCGUUAUAUAAUGAUAAAGUAUGAUUGAGUUUAUAAUGUCGUAAUUACAUGGUGGAUUUUAAUUUCUAAGCAAGAAGUUCUGUGGCUGAACUUUCUGUUUUGUCCUGCCCAAGCAAGGAGUUUUAAUUGUGAAAUGGUUUCUGAGGAUACUAUCCAUUCAUUAAAAAUGAACAGCUGAUUAAUAAUAUUGACAAUGGAGUUUUCUUUAGGAAUUAUUUGUCUUUUGAAGCCUCUGAUCUAUUGCAUUCUCAUUUUUGGAGUUUCUGUUUCAUUAGAUCAAUUCAUUUUAUACAACUUUUCUUGCUUUUGUUUGAAUAUUUGUUUUAUGUUGUUUUUCUUUUCUUGGAUUUUAAUUUUGAUCUAAAGUCACUUGAUUUUUGGAUUUUAGUUUUGAUCUGAAGUUACUUAAAAUGUAGCAUCUAUAAUCUUCAAGAUGUUCGAUUUUCAGUAUUUCUGGGUCUUAUUAUGGCUUGUUUGUCGAGGAAUUCUAAUGUGUGGUUUUGGAUAUAGGUUUAGAGGACAGCGUUUUACAUGUGGAGUAGUGUAUAAUCUAUCAUAUGUAACAAUGGAGUGGUCUGCACAACAGAUUGCGGAAGCAUGGGGAGUAGCUAAGAGGUUGGAGUCCGCUUGCUUCUGGAGUGCUUACUGGAGUAGAUAAGGCUAUGUUUCACUAUGUUUUGCUUCUUACGAAUCUAACAUAUUGUUUAUGCAUAUGUGCUUGUAAUAAAUAUAAUUUCUUGCAUGUUUACAGUUGAUAAAUCUCUGGUGUCUGUAUCAAAAAACAAAACAAAAAGAUCAAAAACUCAACUGUAUAGUGGACUAAUCUGAUAAA